This 766-nucleotide ribosomal RNA is filed under the name Leptocylindrus danicus. RNAcentral describes it as "partial Bacterial small subunit ribosomal RNA". It matches the Rfam family "Bacterial small subunit ribosomal RNA", at positions 140 to 926 of the family's 1533-position model. Lineage: Eukaryota; Bacillariophyta; Leptocylindrophyceae; Leptocylindrales; Leptocylindraceae. The record is from RNAcentral.
GGGAUAACGUUCCGAAAGGAACGCUAAUACCGCAUACGUCCUACGGGAGAAAGUGGGGGAUCUUCGGACCUCACGCUAUCAGAUGAGCCUAGGUCGGAUUAGCUAGUUGGUGAGGUAAAGGCUCACCAAGGCGACGAUCCUUAGCUGGUCUGAGAGGAUGAUCAGCCACACUGGGACUGAGACACGGCCCAGACUCCUACGGGAGGCAGCAGUGGGGAAUAUUGCACAAUGGGCGCAAGCCUGAUGCAGCGACGCCGCGUGGGGGAUGACGGCCUUCGGGUUGUAAACUCCUUUCGCUAGGGACGAAGCUUUUUGUGACGGUACCUAGAUAAGAAGCACCGGCUAACUACGUGCCAGCAGCCGCGGUAAUACGUAGGGUGCGAGCGUUGUCCGGAAUUACUGGGCGUAAAGAGCUCGUAGGUGGUUUGUCGCGUCGUUUGUGUAAGCCCGCAGCUUAACUGCGGGACUGCAGGCGAUACGGGCAUAACUUGAGUGCUGUAGGGGAGACUGGAAUUCCUGGUGUAGCGGUGGAAUGCGCAGAUAUCAGGAGGAACACCGAUGGCGAAGGCAGGUCUCUGGGCAGUAACUGACGCUGAGGAGCGAAAGCAUGGGGAGCGAACAGGAUUAGAUACCCUGGUAGUCCACGCCGUAAACGAUGGACACUAGUUGUUGGAUUAUUUCAGUGACUAAGCGAAAGUGAUAAGUGUCCCACCUGGGGAGUACGAUCGCAAGAUUGAAACUCAAAGGAAUUGACGGGGGCCCGCAC